This 232-nucleotide long non-coding RNA is filed under the name Elaeis guineensis (African oil palm). Its description in RNAcentral is "long non-coding RNA (EGUI_LNC082221)". The record is from RNAcentral. Lineage: Eukaryota; Viridiplantae; Streptophyta; Magnoliopsida; Arecales; Arecaceae.
GAGGUCUUAGUGAUGCUCAGAUAGAUGCACGGAUUGAGGCUUCCUUUGCAUUAUGGUACAAAGAUUAUGUAAGCUUUAACUCCUGUUUGUGCGAAUAGAAAUUAUUUGUUCAUGUGCAACAUAAGUCUAAUACAUUGUUUUUGUAAUUUAUGAUUAAGUGCAUAAUCUAUGUAAUAUGAUACAAAAUCAACACUUGAAUGACUUAGUCUGAGGUCCCAUGAGAGUGAUAAAA